This 434-nucleotide ribosomal RNA is filed under the name uncultured Pseudobutyrivibrio sp. RNAcentral describes it as "bacterial SSU rRNA". It matches the Rfam family "Bacterial small subunit ribosomal RNA", at positions 958 to 1393 of the family's 1533-position model. Lineage: Bacteria; Bacillati; Bacillota; Clostridia; Lachnospirales; Lachnospiraceae. The record is from RNAcentral.
AACGCGAAGAACCUUACCAAAUCUUGACAUCCCGAUGACAGACUGUGUAAAGCAGUUUCUCUUCGGAGCAUUGGUGACAGGUGGUGCAUGGUUGUCGUCAGCUCGUGUCGUGAGAUGUUGGGUUAAGUCCCGCAACGAGCGCAACCCUUGUCUUUAGUAGCCAGCAUUUAGGAUGGGCACUCUAGAGAGACUGCCAGGGAUAACCUGGAGGAAGGUGGGGAUGACGUCAAAUCAUCAUGCCCCUUAUGAUUUGGGCUACACACGUGCUACAAUGGCGUAAACAAAGAGAAGCAAAGGAGUGAUCCGGAGCAAAUCUCAAAAAUAACGUCUCAGUUCGGAUUGUAGUCUGCAACUCGACUACAUGAAGCUGGAAUCGCUAGUAAUCGCGAAUCAGAAUGUCGCGGUGAAUACGUUCCCGGGUCUUGUACACACGC